Molecule: ribosomal RNA, 497 nt
Filed under: uncultured bacterium
Lineage: Bacteria
Description: partial 16S ribosomal RNA
Rfam family: Bacterial small subunit ribosomal RNA
Source: RNAcentral
GAUGAACGCUGGCGGCGUGCCUAAUACAUGCAAGUCGAGCGAACGGACGAGAAGCUUGCUCCUCUGAUGUUAGCGGCGGACGGGUGAGUAACACGUGGAUAACCUACCUAUAAGACUGGGAUAACUUCGGGAAACCGGAGCUAAUACCGGAUAAUAUUUUGAACCGCAUGGUUCAAAAGUGAAAGACGGUCUUGCUGUCACUUAUAGAUGGAUCCGCGCUGCAUUAGCUAGUUGGUAAGGUAACGGCUUACCAAGGCAACGAUGCAUAGCCGACCUGAGAGGGGGAUCGGCCACACUGGAACUGAGACACGGUCCAGACUCCUAAGGGAGGCAGCAGUAGGGAAUCUUCCGCAAUGGGCGAAAGCCUGACGGAGCAACGCCGCGUGAGUGAUGAAGGUCUUCGGAUCGUAAAACUCUGUUAUUAGGGAAGAACAUAUGUGUAAGUAACUGUGCACAUCUUGACGGUACCUAAUCAGAAAGCCACGGCUAACUACGUG